UGGGGAAUUUUGGACAAUGGGCGAAAGCCUGAUCCAGCAAUGCCGCGUGUGUGAAGAAGGCCUUCGGGUUGUAAAGCACUUUUGUCCGGAAAGAAAUCCUUGGCUCUAAUACAGUCGGGGGAUGACGGUACCGGAAGAAUAAGCACCGGCUAACUACGUGCCAGCAGCCGCGGUAAUACGUAGGGUGCAAGCGUUAAUCGGAAUUACUGGGCGUAAAGCGUGCGCAGGCGGUUUGCUAAGACCGAUGUGAAAUCCCCGGGCUUAACCUGGGAACUGCAUUCGUGACUGCAAGGCUAGAGUAUGGCAGAGGGGGGUAGAAUUCCACGUGUAGCAGUGAAAUGCGUAGAGAUGUGGAGGAAUACCGAUGGCGAAGGCAGCCCCCUGGGCCAAUACUGACGCUCAUGCACGAAAGCGUGGGGAGCAAACAGGAUUAGAUACCCUGGUAGUCCACGCCCUAAACGAUGUCAACUAGUUGUUGGGGAUUCAUUUCCUUAGUAACGUAGCUAACGCGUGAAGUUGACCGCCUGGGGAGUACGGUCGCAAGAUUAAAACUCAAAUGAAUUGACGGGGUCAUAGCUG
This 579-nucleotide ribosomal RNA is filed under the name uncultured bacterium. RNAcentral describes it as "partial 16S ribosomal RNA". It matches the Rfam family "Bacterial small subunit ribosomal RNA", at positions 355 to 932 of the family's 1533-position model. The record is from RNAcentral.